UACGUAGGGGGCAAGCGUUGUCCGGAAUCAUUGGGCGUAAAGCGCGUGUAGGCGGUCCGGUAAAUCGGUUGUGAAAGUCCAGGGCUCAACCCUGGGAUGCCGACCGAUACUGUCGGACUAGAGUUCGGAAGAGGCGAGUGGAAUUCCCGGUGUAGCGGUGAAAUGCGCAGAUAUCGGGAGGAACACCAAUGGCGAAGGCAGCUCGCUGGGACGUUACUGACGCUGAGACGCGAAAGCGUGGGGAGCAAACAGG
Molecule: ribosomal RNA, 253 nt
Filed under: uncultured bacterium
Lineage: Bacteria
Description: partial 16S ribosomal RNA
Rfam family: Bacterial small subunit ribosomal RNA
Source: RNAcentral